CCUACGGGAGGCAGCAGUGAGGAAUAUUGGUCAAUGGGCGCGAGCCUGAACCAGCCAAGUCGCGUGAGGGCAGACGGUCCUAUGGAUUGUAAACCUCUUUUGUCGGGGAGCACAAGACGCCACGCGUCGCGUUCCGAGAGUACCCGAAGAAAAAGCAUCGGCUAACUCCGUGCCAGCAGCCGCGGUAAUACGGAGGAUGCGAGCGUUAUCCGGAUUUAGUGGGUUUAAGGGGUGCGCAGGCGGAAGCACAAGUCCACGGUAAAAUUGAGAGGCUCAACCUGUUCGAGCCGUUGAAACUGGUGUUCUUGAGUGAGCGAGAAGUAUGCGGAAUGCGGGGUGUAGCGGUGAAAUGCAUAGAUAUCACGCAGAACUCCGAUGGCGAAGGCAGAAUACCGGCGCUCAACUGACGCUCAUGCACGAAAGUGUGGGUAUCGAACAGGAUUAGAUACCCUAGUAGUC
RNAcentral lists this ribosomal RNA (459 nucleotides) under uncultured bacterium. RNAcentral's name for it is "partial 16S ribosomal RNA". It matches the Rfam family "Bacterial small subunit ribosomal RNA", at positions 338 to 795 of the family's 1533-position model. The record is from RNAcentral.